RNAcentral lists this unclassified non-coding RNA (200 nucleotides) under uncultured Trichoderma. RNAcentral describes it as "sequence contains ITS1". Lineage: Eukaryota; Fungi; Ascomycota; Sordariomycetes; Hypocreales; Hypocreaceae. The record is from RNAcentral.
CCGAGUUUACAACUCCCAAACCCCAUGUGAACGUUACCAACCUGUUGCCUCGGCGGGAUCUCUGCCCCGGGCGCGUCGCAGCCCCGGACCAAGGCGCCCGCCGGAGGACCAACCAAAAACCCUUGUAUGCCCCCUCGCGGGUUUUUUUUUACUGUCUGAGCCAUCUCGGCGCCCCUCGCGGGCGUUUCGAAAAUGAAUCA